Molecule: long non-coding RNA, 147 nt
Organism: Thalassophryne amazonica
Lineage: Eukaryota; Metazoa; Chordata; Actinopteri; Batrachoidiformes; Batrachoididae
Exons: 3
Source: RefSeq, a predicted model, not a curated record
UGUGCUCUCACUUUCUGCUACCAGUUAAGAGACACACAGCAGAAUUUUGGACCAACUGUAAGCGAGAAAGUGCAUUUUGGCUGAUGCAGAUAAAAAGUGCAUUACAGUAGUUUAAACGAGAGGAGACAAAAGCGUUGAAAAGAUGGG